Molecule: ribosomal RNA, 120 nt
Filed under: Mustela putorius furo (domestic ferret)
Lineage: Eukaryota; Metazoa; Chordata; Mammalia; Carnivora; Mustelidae
Source: RNAcentral
GUCUACGGCCAUACCACCCUGAACGCGCCCGAUCUCGUCUGAUCUCGGAAGCUAAGCAGGGUCGGGCCUGGUUAGUACUUGGAUGGGACACAUUCUCUUAUUCACUUGUGCCUGGUGAUC